GAUGAACGCUGGCGGCGUGCCUAAUACAUGCAAGUCGAGCGAACAGACGAGGAGCUUGCUCCUCUGACGUUAGCGGCGGACGGGUGAGUAACACGUGGAUAACCUACCUAUAAGACUGGGAUAACUUCGGGAAACCGGAGCUAAUACCGGAUAAUAUAUUGAACCGCAUGGUUCAAUAGUGAAAGACGGUUUUGCUGUCACUUAUAGAUGGAUCCGCGCCGCAUUAGCUAGUUAGUAAGGUAACGGCUUACCAAGGCAACGAUGCGUAGCCGACCUGAGUGGGUGAUCGGCCACACUGGAACUGAGACACGGUCCAGACUCCUACGGGAGGCAGCAGUAGGGAAUCUUCCGCAAUGGGCGAAAGCCUGACGGAGCAACGCCGCGUGAGUGAUGAAGGUCUUCGGAUCGUAAAACUCUGUUAUUAGGGAAGAACAAAUGUGUAAGUAACUAUGCACGUCUUGACGGUACCUAAUCAGAAAGCCACGGCUAACUACGUG
This 497-nucleotide ribosomal RNA is filed under the name uncultured bacterium. Its description in RNAcentral is "partial 16S ribosomal RNA". It matches the Rfam family "Bacterial small subunit ribosomal RNA", at positions 28 to 507 of the family's 1533-position model. The record is from RNAcentral.